UACAAACAUCUGUGAGGUUAACCCCCUUGACAACGGUGCACAUUUCAAAACUGCACUGUGGUGGAAGCACCUUGCAGGCACACAUGUCGGAUUAGAUUGCUAAUGAGAAUGGAAGUGCCGAUUUGAUGCUUGAUAUGUGUAUGCCGAUUUCGUAUUAUCGCUGGAAGAUAUUUCCACUGAGACACCCAGAACUACUCCAGCCAUGGCCGCAGAAAAUGAAAUGCAUACACUGGACUCCCACCAAGUUCUCCAAGCUGUGUUCAGAGCACUUCGAAAAUGACUGCUUCCACAGGCUUGGUGGCAAGACUAACCUCAAACAAGGUGCAGUGCCCACACUGUUUACCUUUCGAGCGGUCAGACCUCAAUCAACACCCCCGAACUGACCUUCCAUCCACCUCCCAAGUGGUCCAAUCUCAACGGUACCCUCAGACUGAUUUUCCCUCUCCACAAGCCCCAUCAACAGUGCAACUUCAAGCAGCAUCAAGCAGCCCUGAAGCUCCAUCUUCGCGACAGGCCAGUUGCCCUUGCGACCACAGCUACACAGUUGUGCUUCCACGACGGGACAGGAUACUCUAGCGGCCAGCAAGC
This is a long non-coding RNA of Ixodes scapularis (black-legged tick), 588 nucleotides long. RefSeq lists it as uncharacterized. The transcript is spliced from 2 exons. NCBI's taxonomy places the organism in Eukaryota, Metazoa, Arthropoda, Arachnida, Ixodida, Ixodidae. The record is from RefSeq and is a predicted model, not a curated record.